Molecule: ribosomal RNA, 253 nt
Filed under: uncultured bacterium
Lineage: Bacteria
Description: partial 16S ribosomal RNA
Rfam family: Bacterial small subunit ribosomal RNA
Source: RNAcentral
UACGUAGGGGGCAAGCGUUGUCCGGAAUCAUUGGGCGUAAAGCGCGCGUAGGCGGCCCGGUAAGUCCGUUGUAAAAGUCCAGGGCUCAACCCUGGAAAGCCGGUGGAUACUGUCGGGCUAGAGUCCGGAAGAGGCGAGUGGAAUUCCUGGUGUAGCGGUGGAAUGCGCAGAUAUCAGGAGGAACACCGAUGGCGAAGGCAGCUCGCUGGGACGGUACUGACGCUGAGGUGCGAAAGCGUGGGGAGCAAACAGG